Molecule: transfer RNA, 72 nt
Filed under: Marmota monax (woodchuck)
Lineage: Eukaryota; Metazoa; Chordata; Mammalia; Rodentia; Sciuridae
Description: tRNA.Gly
Source: RNAcentral
UUUUGUAGCUCAGUGGUAGAGCAUGUGCUUACCAUGCUCAAAGCCCUGGGUUCAGUCCCCAUUGCCUAAAAA